Molecule: ribosomal RNA, 253 nt
Filed under: uncultured bacterium
Lineage: Bacteria
Description: partial 16S ribosomal RNA
Rfam family: Bacterial small subunit ribosomal RNA
Source: RNAcentral
UACGAAGGGAGCUAGCGUUGCUCGGAAUUACUGGGCGUAAAGGGAGCGUAGGCGGACAGUUUAGUCAGAGGUGAAAGCCCAGGGCUCAACCCUGGAAUUGCCUUUGAUACUGAUUGUCUUGAGUACGGGAGAGGUGUGUGGAACUCCGAGUGUAGAGGUGAAAUUCGUAGAUAUUCGGAAGAACACCAGUGGCGAAGGCGACACACUGGCCCGUUACUGACGCUGAGGCUCGAAAGCGUGGGGAGCAAACAGG